CCGGAUUUCAUGACAACUCUGUAAUUUGAAAACUUCGAGGUUUUUUUUGCGUAGAUCUAGCUACCUAUUGGUUAAUUCUAUGAACGCAUUUCAAGCAAAUCUACGUCAUUUACACGAUAAAAUACAUUGCAGAGUAUUUUUUUAAUACCACACAAACCGCCAAAUGCCGGCUACUAGUGUGCAACUCGCUAUUAAGGUUUCUGUCCUGUCCAACCUCAGGUUUCUGUCCUGUCCAACCUCAGGUUCCUGUCCUGUCCAACCUCAGGUUCCUGUCCUGUCCAACCUCAGGUUCCUGUCCUGUCCAACCUCAGGUUUGUGUCCUGUCCAAUCUCAGGUUCGUGUCCUGUCCAAUCUCAGGUUCGUGUCCUGUCCAACUUCAGGUUCGUGUCCUGUACAAUCUCAGGUUCGUGUCCUGUCCAACCUCAGGUUCGUGUCCUGUCCCAUCUCAGGUUCGUGUCCUGUCCCACCUCAGGUUCGUGUCCUGUCCAACCUCAGGUUCGUGUCCUGUCCAACCUCAGGUUCGUGUCCUGUCCAACCUCAGGUUUGUGUCCUGUCCAACCUCAGGUUCGUGUCCUGUCCAACCUCAGGUUCGUGUCCUGUCCAACCUCAGGUUUGUGUCCUGUCCAACCUCAGGUUCCUGUCCUGUCCAACCUCAGGUUCGUGUCCUGUCCAACCUCAGGUUUGUGUCCUGUCCAACCUCAGGUUUGUGUCCUGUCCAAUCUCAGGUUUGUGUUCUGUCCAAUCUCAGGUUCGUGUCCUGUCCAACCUCAGGUUCGUGUCUUCCUUGUCCUCAUCCCGUCCCUUCUUCUUUCCCACCUCAGGAGUGUUACCAGGUAGGACACCAUGGUACUCUAGAAAACUGUUUUCAUUCCAGAUACUGAAUUAAACCACCAAGUGGUUAAGUGUUUUUUUAAGUUCUGUAUCUGCUGAAGGUAUCGCACCCUCUCCUCCGGGCUUCAGAGGAAAAGAGAGAUAUUCUCCAUCAUUCACACCACACAGAAAGGAUGCUAUACUAGAAGACACAUAGACGUGGUCCUGUUUGACUCAGUUGGUAGAACGUGGUGCUUGCAACGCCAAGAUUGUGGGUUUGAUUCCCGGGGCAACCCAUACGUAAGUCUCUCUGGAUAGUGUCCUCUAUAUAUUAAGGAUGUGAACUAAGUGUAAAUGCGUGAGAUCAAUUUACCUGCCUGUAAUGAUUUUGCAUGAAACAAUCUUCUUUUUGAC
RNAcentral lists this long non-coding RNA (1224 nucleotides) under Oncorhynchus kisutch (coho salmon). RNAcentral's name for it is "lncRNA (ENSOKIG00005036419.1)". Lineage: Eukaryota; Metazoa; Chordata; Actinopteri; Salmoniformes; Salmonidae. The record is from RNAcentral.